UACGGAGGGUGCAAGCGUUAUCCGGAUUCACUGGGUUUAAAGGGUGCGUAGGUGGGAUGGUAAGUCAGUGGUGAAAUCUCCGGGCUUAACCCGGAAACUGCCAUUGAUACUAUUUGUCUUGAAUACUGUGGAGGUCAGCGGAAUAUGUCAUGUAGCGGUGAAAUGCUUAGAUAUGACAUAGAACACCAAUUGCGAAGGCAGCUGGCUACACAAAUAUUGACACUGAGGCACGAAAGCGUGGGGAUCAAACAGG
Molecule: ribosomal RNA, 253 nt
Filed under: uncultured bacterium
Lineage: Bacteria
Description: partial 16S ribosomal RNA
Rfam family: Bacterial small subunit ribosomal RNA
Source: RNAcentral